UCUCUCUCUCUCUCUCUCUACGUAGCCAGACGAAACAGGUCAGUCCCUUCUUUUCUUUUUAGUUUCCAUUUCCUUCUUUUUCUUCAUCUAUCGCAGCGGCCUAACUCCUGCAGUUAACAGGUUAGUGCUGCCCCACCCCUUUUUUCCAUUUUUCUUCUUUCCUGCAGCUUUUGAUUCAAUCUCUUCAUUUCCUUGCACCCUUCUCUUCUUUAUUCUUAUUGCUGUAGCCCUGAUUCAUUAGCUGAGUUCCUGCAUGUUGUGCUAUUUUGUGGUCUGGUUCUGAUUUUGUACUUUUAAAUACCUAGACCUGCAUUUAAUCUGUGUUUUUAGUGGUAAUCUUAUUUUUUUGGCUUUUUUUAAUUUUUAUUUAUUGCUUGAUUUGAACCCUUUCAUUGAGUGCUGUAAUUGAAUAUAUCAGUACCUUGAAUUCGAUGAAUGCCUAUAUUUAUUUUCUUGUUUAUCAAUUGACAUACUUUGAAUUAACUGUGAAGUACAACACUUUGGAUUAAAUGUGAAGUACAACCGAUAGCUGCCCGCUUAUAACUAUUAGUAUAGCUGAUAAUUG
This 565-nucleotide unclassified non-coding RNA is filed under the name Hevea brasiliensis (rubber tree). Lineage: Eukaryota; Viridiplantae; Streptophyta; Magnoliopsida; Malpighiales; Euphorbiaceae. The record is from RNAcentral.